UAGUGCUGCAUUCACCUUUUUAUAGUACUGCUAUUAGUGUAACAUUUGAGGAUUAUAUGCUAGCAGUAUGUUUACAACAUUUUGUGCAUUGCUUGCUUCUGCAUUCUGUCUUAAACCAUUUCCUUGCUUUCCAUGUUUUGGCAUGUUAGAGAAUUAAACUUCUUUAUGUGCAGGUGGAGUCAUAUUUGCGUAUAAUUGGUGAGACAAAGCUUCAUCUGUAUUUCUUCUGGUACAUUCUGUCCUCUCAGUUCUUUUCUUCAUGUAGAAAUUUUGGGAAGAAUAUUCCUGCCAGAGGCAUAUUCAAAUGAUGAAUCCGUCAAGCUCAGAGAGAAGUGGAUAUCCUACCUGAGGUGCAUAUAAUGAAGAUGGAAGUUUGCUGCACUAGUUGGCUAUCAAGGUGCCAUCUUCUAAAACUUUGCUGCUGUAGGGGUUGGUAAAGUCAUGGAAGUUACUGUUUUACCCUCACUUUGGUCUAGGGUGAUAAAAAAUUGCUCCAGGUUUGUUCAGUAUAACCUAAUUUUUGCAUAAUUGAAUCAGUUGUUUUUCUACGGGUGGUUUUAUUUUCUUCUAGUUUCCUGCUGAAAAAUGAGGUAUAGGGUUGUAUUUGUUGCAGAGUGUGGCUUAUGUAGGAAUAUAACCAAGUUAGUGAUGCUUGAAUAUGUUGUUUUGAGCCAAUUCAGUGGGGAGCUUUUUAUUUGCGGCAAUGUGGGCGGUUUGGAGCGCUCCAUGGAUGCCGUGCAUAUUUGUCUGCAUCUACACUGCUGUGUACCGCUCCCUUCUUAUAAUAAUUCUGUAUGAAGUGAAUUUUCGUUUUUGUUGUAGGGACAUUUAUUCCUGUCAUAAGUUUUACUUGGUGUCAGUUCACAUUGUAAGUUCUAGUUUUACUUGGUGGAUAAAAUUGAACAUUCGACAUCUGUAGUAGCUAUCCGGUCAUGCAAUGACAAUAAUAAUGCGCUUUCGUGAACAAAGAAUGAAGUUGUAAUUCCUGGC
Prunus avium (sweet cherry) is the source of this 990-nucleotide non-coding RNA. Lineage: Eukaryota; Viridiplantae; Streptophyta; Magnoliopsida; Rosales; Rosaceae. The record is from RefSeq and is a predicted model, not a curated record.